This 76-nucleotide transfer RNA is filed under the name Candidatus Psychracetigena formicireducens. Its description in RNAcentral is "tRNA-Lys". It matches the Rfam family "tRNA". Rfam says of the family: Transfer RNA (tRNA) molecules are approximately 80 nucleotides in length. Their secondary structure includes four short double-helical elements and three loops (D, anti-codon, and T loops). Further hydrogen bonds mediate the characteristic L-shaped molecular structure. tRNAs have two regions of fundamental functional importance: the anti-codon, which is responsible for specific mRNA codon recognition, and the 3' end, to which the tRNAs corresponding amino acid is attached (by aminoacyl-tRNA synthetases). tRNAs cope with the degeneracy of the genetic code in two manners: having more than one tRNA (with a specific anti-codon) for a particular amino acid; and 'wobble' base-pairing, i.e. permitting non-standard base-pairing at the 3rd anti-codon position. The record is from RNAcentral. Lineage: Bacteria; Bacillati; Candidatus Lithacetigenota.
GGGCCGUUAGCUCAGUCGGCAGAGCACUUGCCUUUUAAGCAAGGGGUCGAAGGUUCGAGUCCUUCACGGCUCACCA